RNAcentral lists this long non-coding RNA (1724 nucleotides) under Salvia miltiorrhiza (redroot sage). RNAcentral describes it as "long non-coding RNA (SMIL_LNC003059)". The record is from RNAcentral. Lineage: Eukaryota; Viridiplantae; Streptophyta; Magnoliopsida; Lamiales; Lamiaceae.
UUUUACUUAAGUCAUGGAUUAUACCGAGUUGUGAGGAAAAUUAAAUCUUCGGAUUUAAUUUAGAUAUUAGAUGAGCAGAUGAAUUAAAUCUACGGAUUUAAUUUAGAAUUAUUUUACAGUCUUUUGACAUUAGCAAGACAAGAAAUAGAAUAUCGAGACACGAGAUUUAUUAGAAUAUACGGAUACACAGAUAGACGAUUAAAUAGCAGAAUCAAAGUUACCAUUUUUAUACAAAAUGACCAACGCUGGAAGAUUCUAUCUAUUACACCACAAUUUUUACAACCUAUCUAUUACAAUGAUCACACAAGUUCCUAGCCCACAAUUCAAAAACACCAUCUCCCAACAAAGAAAAAAAAAAGAAAGCAAAGAGGAGAAAAAAAAAAGGGAUAAGGGGCGUGUGAAUUUGCUGCUACAGCUACAGCCCCUCCCCUCCUAUUCCCUUCUCCCUACACCUCUCCUUUCCCUAUGCUAGCCGCCCACCCCAUCCAAUCCACCUCAUACUCCAGCCUGUUGAAAAUACUCAAUAACAAAGUCAAGAAAAAACCACAAGUAAAGUCAAAAGAAAUAUAUAUUGUAGGACUUUAGUACCUUAAUUAUAGGGAUUUGCAUGACUUUGAUCAUUCUUAAACCUAUAAAUUGAGUAUCAUUGUAAUACGGAAAUAUCAAGCAAUAUCAAAGAAAUACAAUUACGAUCUUUGGCUUUUCUUUCUCUAUAUUAUGAUGAUACCAUGUUUCAACACAGCCACCCAAACACAAAGCAAUCACAGGUAAUUCACAAUCUCAAAUAUCAUUUCGUAAACAUUCAUAUUAAAGCAUGGGCAUAAUCAGUUCAAUCAUAGAAGACCUUAUAGCAUCUUAAACUUAGUAAUUACGCCAACUACGCUUUUAUGAGCAAGUGACAGUUCAUAUGAAGUUUUAAACAAGCAUAAUUUGAGUUUAUGCAAAGCAAAGAAGAGAUUACACCUUAUCUUUCCUAAUUCGCAUUAAGAAUCGAUAAAAGAGAACGGUUUGACUUAGCUUUUAAGGGGGGGAGGCUGACUGCCUCGACCGGUACCGAGCCCGAACAGCGGCUACCCGGCAGCGGCGACCUCUUCCUUUCUGGAAUUAGGACAGCAUCAACGGCGUUGAUGGAGCCCGCGUCGGCAACCGAAGCCGAUCAGAGACGAUGGCGGCUGAACAACUGAGGAAGAUAAAGCUGACGCCGAUCAAUUAUGAGAGAGGUCGAGGAGAUAAACCAACUUUCAGAUUCGAGCAGCAACCGCUUGCCGACGAACGAGAGAGCCGGAGAUCGCAGCGGCGACGGCGAGUUCUGACUUUGAAAAGUUAGGGCUCGGUUCGAUUUGAUAGAUUUGGGGUAAAUCAAGAGGGAGAGGGAGAACCUAGGCGAUGAGGCGUCUAAAGUUGAGACGAGGGGAAGGAGAGGAGGCCGACGGGCUCCAGGCCGGAGCAACGCCGCUCCCAGACGGCGACCGGUCGCCCAAUUUCGAAAGGGUAGCAGCAGCAGCAGCGCUGAUUCCUUGAGAAUCAGGGCUCGAUGUUGGGGGAGGAAAGAGGACGGCGCCGGGGCUGAGACGCGUCGACAGAUGACGCCGGCCGAAGCAAGUGAUGGCUGAACGGCCGGAGGAGGCGCAGCCGGCCAGAUUUAGCCGGAGGAGAAGAGGCCGAUCGGCCUUGAGGAAGAGAGGGAGCGUCGGUUCUUGAGAGAGAGAAAAGAGAGAGAAAAG